AGAGAACACACUGGAGAAGACAGCAGGUUAUUGUGCAUUCAUGUGUUCUUGGAAGCAAUACAUUUCUUAUUGGUAAAAUGCACACAAAAGCUGCUCGAGCCAGAAAAAGAAACAACUGAAGAUGACAUGAGCUGACUAUCUGAGCAACCUACCUGCCCACUAAAUACAUGCAAAAUCCUCACCGCUGAUGCAGAGGUGGCUCAAAGUACAGCUCCUUUUAAUGGCAACUUGUUCCACGAACAUUUUUCCCAAGAAAUUAGUCACGAAGCAGCCUGCCAUUCUGAAAAUGUUGCUGUCACGGUGCUGUGAAGUGUGCUGAAUACUGAUUGAUGGUACGGGCUCCUCGGCUGAGGCUGUUGCAUGAGCGGACACGCAGAGGCAGCUCCGACUCGUAGCCUACCAGAAGAGCGGCGCAGCACAUACAUCACAUUAUAGAGUGUAUUGUACAUGUGAAUUGAAGUUUCAAAAUAAAUCAUAGAAAUGUUGUGUGAAGACAA
Molecule: long non-coding RNA, 497 nt
Organism: Oreochromis aureus
Lineage: Eukaryota; Metazoa; Chordata; Actinopteri; Cichliformes; Cichlidae
Exons: 3
Source: RefSeq, a predicted model, not a curated record